GGCUGAGGUAGGAGGAUCCCUUGAGCUCUGGAGGCAGAGGCUACAGUGAGCCGAGAUCACGACACUACACUCCAGCAUGGGUGACAGAGUGAGACCCUGUCUCAAAAAAAGAAGAAAAUGCCUCCCACCCUGUAGCUCCAUCUUCAGACUCAGCCACUGAUCUCUGGGCCGUGUCAGCUGAACCUGUAGGGACAGUUUUCUGACGGGGAGACUUGAGUGGGCAGCGAUAUGGGCAGUGGCCCGUGUGGGGUCUGCAGCAUCCCAGGAUAUACCCGGAGCAUGGGCCUUGCACCAGCCUCAGCAGCACAGAUGUAUGAAGGCCCAAAGGGCUGGGGGACAAGUGUGGAGAGGCGAGCAUGUCCACUCAGACUCAGGGCCCUGCCCUCAGCACCCUAACUCCCCUGCCCUCGUCAACUCUUGAUGGUCCCACCUGCCCUCCCAAUGCUAAGCAACCAGAGGAAGCCCAUGGCCACCAAAAAGGCUUUCCUCUCCAGCUGGAUCUCCAGGAUCCUGCUUGUAUGUUACAAAUCAAAGUUUGGCCUAGGCUGGGCACAGUGGCUCAUGCCCGUAAUCCCAGCACUUUGGGAGACCUGAGGUCUGGCCAACAUGGUGAAAUCCCAUCUCUACUAAAAGUAAAAAUUAGCUGGGCAUGGUGGCACACACUUGUAGUCCCAGCUACUCGGGGGGGCUGAGUCAGGAGAUUUGCUUGAACCUGGAUGUGGAAGUUUCAAUGAGCCGAGAUAGUGCCACUGUGCUCCAGCCUGGGCGACAGUGGAGACCUUGUUUCAGUAAAAAAAAAAAAUUUCGCUUAAUAUCCCUGACUGUGCUUUUGUCUUGGGGUUUUCCUGACCACAGGUCCCUAGGCAACAGAGGAAGUGACACCCGGGGCUUCUGCUGGGCUGAGUUCUCAUCUGGCUGUGUCCAGGAUGAGCAGGUGGAAGGAUUUGGGGAGGAAAGCGAAGCCAUGGGGUCAUUUUUGAACAAGGUCUUACUCUGUCACCCAGGCUGGAGUGUAGUGGCACGAUCCUAGCUCACUGCAGCCUCAAACCCCUGGGCUCAAGUGAUCCUCCCACCCUAGCCACCUGAGUCGUUAGGACUAUAGGUGUGCACCACCACACCCAGCUAGCUUUUUAAAAUUUUUCGUAGAGACCGGGUCUCCCUAUGUCAUCUAGGCUAAUCUCUAACUUCUUAGUGAUCUUUCCGCCUCCGCCUCCCAAAGUGCUGGAAUUACAGGUCUGAGGCACCACACCUGGGUUCCAUGUGCUUUCUGCGCACACUUGGGAGGCUGGUGGGAGACCCUGGAUCCAGAGCUUGGGGAUGAUGCUGGCUCUCUUCUGCCCUGAGGAUCAAGACAGGCACCAGUGCCCAAGGGCACAGCCUGUGCCACCCACUGUGGGUUUGCAGCAGUGCAGAAGCAGGGCUGGGGGGGCCUCUGCAGAUGUGUCUGUCUUAGGCCUCCCCAGGGUGGGCUGUGUGGGCGCUGGGCCAAGCACUUCCCUACCACAAGCUGGUCAGAGUUCAGACCAAGCAGUGUAAGGCACGUCCGCUGGGUGCCAGGCACAGCAGUGCCCCAGGGAGUGGCCCCACUCCCGGCCUGGCUCGUGCCUCCUGGCUCGUGUGGGGAAGCAGAGCAACCGGCUCAGGGCGGGAUGUAGUCAGACCUGGAGCCCUAGUGCUGUGACUGCUGCGCUCCUUCCCAGGCCCUCACCCCUCCUUCUCCACCUAGGAGUCGUUCACGCCUACUGAGGAGCAUGUGUUGGUGGUGCGCCUGCUGCUGAAGCACCUGCAUGCCUUUGCCAACAGCCUGAAGCCAGAGCAGGCUUCGCCCUCUGCCCACUCCCACGCCACCAGUCCCCUGGAGGAGUUCAAACGGGCUGCUGUCCCGAGGUUCGUCCAGCAGAAACUCUACCUAUUCCUGCAGCAUUGCUUUGGCCACUGGCCCCUGGACGCAUCGUUCAGAGCUGUCCUAGAGAUGUGGCUGAGCUACCUGCAGCCAUGGCGGUAUGCGCCUGACAAGCAGGCUCCGGGCAACGACUCCCAGCCCCAGUGUAUGUCGGAGAAAUGGGCACCCUUUGUCCAGGAGAACCUGCUGAUGUACACCAAGUUGUUUGUGGGCUUCCUGAACCGCACACUCCGCACAGACCUGGUCAGCCCCAAGCAUGCGCUCAUGGUGUUCUGAGUGGCCAAAGUCUUUGCCCAGCCCAGCCUGGCUGAGAUGAUUCAGAAAGGUGAGCAGCUAUUCCUGGAGCCAGAGCUGGUCAUUCCCCACCGCCAGCACCGACUCUUCACGGCCACCACCUUCACUGGGAGCUUCCUGUCACCCUGGCCACCCGCAGUCACUGAUGCCUCCUUCAAGGUGAAGAACCACGUCUACAGCCUGGAGGGCCAGGACUGCAAGUACACCCCGAUGUUUGGGCCCGAAGCCCGCACCCUGGUGA
Molecule: RNA transcript, 2438 nt
Organism: Piliocolobus tephrosceles (Ugandan red Colobus)
Lineage: Eukaryota; Metazoa; Chordata; Mammalia; Primates; Cercopithecidae
Gene name: sphingomyelin phosphodiesterase 4-like
Exons: 5
Source: RefSeq, a predicted model, not a curated record